This is a long non-coding RNA of Drosophila biarmipes, 820 nucleotides long. RefSeq lists it as uncharacterized. The transcript is spliced from 3 exons. NCBI's taxonomy places the organism in Eukaryota, Metazoa, Arthropoda, Insecta, Diptera, Drosophilidae. The record is from RefSeq and is a predicted model, not a curated record.
CAAUUUAAAAUGAAAUCGUGUAAUCCUAUAAAUCUGUAGCGUAAACUAAUGUCCGGCCAAACUAACACAGCCCCACUCUUCGCAAUUACAGAGUACGACAUGAAAGCGAGAGCCCAAAAACCAACAAAAUCGAGAGUUGAGGAUCGCGUGGGAAUAAAUGCCUAACCGCCGGCAAAAAGGAAUGUAACGUAUUUUUCCCACAGCUCCUGCGAACAAGGCCCUUCCCUCUCGCUCACCAGAAUGAUAUGCAUGGGCCUAAAUUAGUUGUUAAUUGUUUUCCCGGCCUCUCUCCACCGACCUUUCCUUUUGGCAUGUGCUCGCGUGAGAACUCAGAAUCGAAAUACUGGAAAAGGGACCAGGAGCGCAGAAAAACUGAAUGGCUGCACAACCUUCCCAGAUACGGCUACUCCUCUCCACCUCGCUUGGCCUGUGGUAGUUGGUCUUAACGAGAUCCUCGAUCGAAACGCUGAACGGAUGUGGGCUCUGUGGAAUUUCUUUUUCGGUGUGUGUUUGCGGAGGGUUUAGUGUCUGUCGGCUGGUCGCGGUUCGCUGUGUCAACAUCGUGUGGGAAAUUCUUGCCCAUUAUCCGUUACAAGAAUAUGUUCUCUGUGAAGACGGAAUGAUCGUGAGAACUUUUUAUGCUCAAGCGGAGAUGUCGACCAGGAAAACAGAAUGCGAGUAAAGGUUGAGCUUAAACUGUGCUACUUUGUGGGCGUUAGAGCGGUCUUGGCAUCCUGAUGAAUCAAACUCUCGCUGCGCAAGAAGCACAAUAAUCUGCAUGCCAAGCCAAAUAAAUGUCUAGCUUUUAUAGUUUUUGAGA